Molecule: long non-coding RNA, 4089 nt
Filed under: Triticum aestivum (bread wheat)
Lineage: Eukaryota; Viridiplantae; Streptophyta; Magnoliopsida; Poales; Poaceae
Description: long non-coding RNA (TAES_LNC001844)
Source: RNAcentral
AGGUAUUAGUCAGAGGAGGACUUGUAGUGUCAUGGCAGAUUGAAUGGCCAGGAUCAAAAGGAAACCCAAAGGCAGAAGAUCUACCGCUGUCAACGUUUAUCCAUUUCCGUCCUUGUUAUUAUUUCUAUAUUCAACUUACUCUCUGUAACCUCAGGCUAUAUAAGGGGUGGUAACUAGAGGAGAUGUAUCGAUCAACUAUUCAGCCAAAUAUUGGUUAUUAUCAAUACAAGAAUACCUUUACAUACAUACACCAUAUACACAAGUUCCUCACUGUUCUUGGUGAUUUCAUACUUUUCCCCAAUUUCUUCUUCUUGAUCCACUUCAAAUCCAUGGCUGAUCCAUCCGGGAUCUGACAAAUGGUAUUCAGAGCCUCUGCUUCCUUGGUAUUUUGACUAGAUCUGGUUCGGGUUUGUGCUGGUGUUGUGAAAUCCCCAAUCCCACCCUCCCAAAUCGAGCGUUUGUGCGAUGGCUUCUUCGUAUGGCGUUGAUUCCUUGCUUGGUCCGAUCUUCGCCGCCACCGCAGCUACUUCACCUCGCUCGUCCACAAACCCAACUUCUCAGAUCGGUGCCCUCGUCACCACCGCCACGCGGUCAGUGUCACCAUCGUCUUCUCAGUUCAACAAACUAAAUGAGAUGUGUGAUGCAGUGGGCAAGGUCCAGAAGGCAGUCGCUGAUUUGGGACAUCAGCUAUCUGCGUUGUCUCAAGUUCUUCUUGCUGCAGCAGCCCCCAUCGCCACCGCCACCGCCACCUCCCAUGCCACCGCCGUGGUCGCCACGCCUACAAGCAGGUUUCCCGUUGCAGCAACUGGCACCACCUCAGCAUUGGCGCCCACUAGGCGUUCGACUGAAUGCUCGAGUAGUGUUUUGACCUCCAUCACUGCGCAUCCGAGCGGAACGCCUCCUGCAGUCACCACCAUCUCCACCACCUCUGUUGCCUGCGUCAUCACCGCGCCUCCAACCGGACCCCCUGCGGCAGUCACCACUGCUACUGCUUACCGCGUCAUCAGGAUGCACUGGAGUGACCUUCGUGUGGUGAAUGACAUCCCCAGUGAAGUGUCUCUUUCAUGUACACAAGCUUCAAAAAUGUUGCCCACCAACUGUUUGACUGAAUGCCUGAGCGACAUUAUGUAUCUGAAGGAGGCAAGGUUAACAACCAAAACGGCUCACCUAUCUCCGCCAGCGACAUUGGUCAUGCCUGUCAUCUCUGUGCGUACAUCAACCAACAUCAACACCACCAGAACCGUUGGCGUUGGAUGCCCAGGACUCCAUCUGCAUUCCCAGGUCAGCGGCGCUCAAAGCCACUGUCACUGUCGUUCCAAUACAGUCCAUGGUGACAAGUGCCUUCAUAGAAAAAUGCCUCGACAAGGACAGCCCAGAGAGGGACAUGUCUUUUGUGGCGCUACUAUCAUGGUUUUCUAUCAGCCCUGUGUGCCAGGUGUUUGUCGUUGGUUUCCUUCCUGCAGAGAUACGACCACCAUGGCGACCACCUCUGGUCUGUAGCAGCCAUUUGAGAGCUAGCCCUCUAGUACAGAAGGUAUUGUAUGCAAUAGUCAACAAUGACAUGAGGAAGGGGAGCCUUGGCGCAGUGGUAAAGCUGCUGCCUUGUGACCAUGAGGUCAUGGGUUCAAGUCCUGGAAACAGCCUCUUACAGAAAUGUAGGGAAAGGCUGCGUACUAUAGACCCAAAGUGGUCGGACCCUUCCCUGGACCCUGCGCAAGCAGGAGCUACAUGCACCAGGUUGCCCUUUUUUUUAGUCAACAAUGACAUGAGGGUGCAGAAUAAAGGAGUCAAUGCAAAUCUUAUAUUGCCGUGGAACCCCGGCAUACAGUCCGUAGCUGAGCCACACCAUGUACAAGAUGAUGUUAUAUUGGUUUAUGCAUAUUCUGCUGAGCAGUCCUACCACAAGUGGUUCAUUUCACUGAAAUAUCACUGCCAUGUUACUGGUCAUUCCCUACCGUAUUACGACUUGUAUGGAACACGGUUGACCCUGAUUACCGUUGGCGUGUGUUCCAACAUGAUUUUGCUACACACAGUGGAAUAUCCAGAGUUGGAAGAAAAAAAUGGACUGAAGAAUGUUACAGCAGCAACAACUGAUGAGUGUGUUCUUCCUUUAAAACAGUCCCAGUUUUGUGCCUUUGAAUUUUGGGAAGAGCAGCCCAAAAGUGCAGCUACUACAGAAAGCGAUGCAAGCAACCCAACAGGGGUUGGUGAUCUAUAUAUUGAUGGUUCUUUCACUCUCUGGGCCAAAAUGUUGUUCAUCAAUUCUUUGAUGCAGAAUGAAUACUGGAAACUGGAACAUCAACCAUUAAUUGGUCCCAAGAAGGAAUUGUUUUCUACUGGUAAAAUGUCUUGGUGCCAUGUCAAUUUUCCAAAAUGCCGUAACCAACUCAGCAAGGAAAAAAGAAGGGAUAGUAAUCAGAGGUAUUGUUGAUCUUUGUCUGUCGGGUGCUAGUGCUAUAGUUGAUCACGAGAAUCAGAUGUACAACAAAGAGAAAACUAAAAUUUCACACUGGAAAUUCAAAGGAACACCUCUUGAGUUUGACUUCUAUGAUCAAAGUGAAAUCAAUAUUGAGUUCUUGUUGCUGUCAUAUGCUGCAUCUCAAGUCAAGCGGCUUUUUCCAUGGGAUCCAGGAGAACAUGACCAUUUAGUGAAAAUUACUGCGAUGAUACUAGUUGGAACUGCGGGACAGGUUAUUUCUGAACUUAUCAGCAGCAAAGUGAUCACUCAAAUGGCCCGAUGUAGCACAGAGAAUAAGAUACCACAGUCGGAUGCCUCGCUGUUGCCUUUGUCUGUCGAUUGCUUGUACCCAUUGGUCAACAUCUGUACAAGAUCUGUGAGAAGCAAUCUGAAAGCUAGCUCUCCAGUUCAGACGUACAAUGACAUGAAAGUGCAGACUAAAGGAAUCUAUGCAGCUGUUGUGUUACCAUGGGACACUGGCGUACAAUCCAUUGUAUGUACAAAUUUUACUACAUGUGCUACUGCCAGUUAUCUUCCAGGGAAGCAUACUCCAGCACAUAACAUGAACAUGGUGCAGGUUUUACAAAAGGAAAGAAUUAUGGGGCUGUACAAGGAUACUGAAGAGAUGAUUCCCAUAUCUCUAAGAGACCUACUGAGCAUCACUUUCUCAUACCAAGAUUGUAUAGCGCAUGAAGAUCUCUUUCAUCUGAAGCAGCGAGUGUUUCCUAAAUUUCCUUCUGAUCAAAUCUCAAUGGAGACAUUGACUGUGAUAAUGGUUGUUGCUACUUCCACUUCUUUUGAACCAGCACGACAAGAAUCCAAGUUCAUUGUGGUUUCUGCACAAGAGCUCAAGAACAUUGUUGUUAUUGUACAAGGUCCAUACUAUACCAAUUCUAACCCUACAGGUUGUGGACUAUUCUGGGAAACAAACUCUUCAUGUUCAACCUUGCGACAAUCUGUAUCAUAUAUAUGGGUGUACAAGCGAUUUGACCCAAGAGAUCCACCAUUGGCAUUGUUGUUCAACAUGGCGAUGCAAUCAGGGGAAUGCUAUGCUACGGUGAAACAAAGGAAGUGUCAGAAGCUCAAACAUCUUGAAAUCAUAUGUUGGACGUCUCCAAUUUGGAUCAUAUCAUUUAUGCCUCCCUGAGGCUCAACAUUCUGCUCUCAACUCAGUCCAGGGAGAACCACACUUGGGGACAAGUGUGAUUUCAAGAGGGAUGGAAUGUCAGGUAUUAGUCAGAGGAGGACUUGUAGUGUCAUGGCAGAUUGAAUGGCCAGGAUCAAAAGGAAACCCAAAGGCAGAAGAUCUACCGCUGUCAACGUUUAUUCAUUUCCGUCCUUGUUAUUAUUUCUAUAUUCAACUUACUCUCUGUAACCUCAGGCUAUAUAAGGGGUGGUAACUAGAGGAGAUGUAUCGAUCAACUAUUCAGCCAAAUAUUGGUUAUUAUCAAUACAAGAAUACCUUUACAUACAUACACCAUAUACACAAGUUCCUCACUGUUCUUGGUGAUUUCAUACUUUUCCCCAAUUUCUUGUUCUUGAUCCACUUCAAAUCCAUGGCUGAUCCAUCCGGGAUCUGACAGAUGGACCCCGCAAUCGAUGCUAAACUUUUUUUUUUUGGAUGAACAGGG